UAGAGCACUGUUUGGGUGAGGGGUCCAUCCCGGAUUACCAAUCUCAGAUAAACUCCGAAUGCCAAUGAAUUAUGGUCGGCAGUCAGACUGCGAGUGCUAAGAUCCGUAGUCGAAAGGGAAACAGCCCAGACCACCAGCUAAGGUCCCAAAAUAAUUGUUAAGUGGAAAAGGAUGUGGGGUUGCACAGACAACUAGGAUGUUAGCUUAGAAGCAGCUAUUCAUUCAAAGAGUGCGUAAUAGCUCACUAGUCGAGUGACCCUGCGCCGAAAAUGUACCGGGGCUAAAACAAUUUACCGAAGCUGUGGAUACCUUUUAUAGGUAUGGUAGGAGAGCGUUCUAUGUGUGGAGAAGGUGUACCGUGAGGAGCGCUGGAACGCAUAGAAGUGAGAAUGCCGGUAUGAGUAGCGCAAGACAGGUGAGAAUCCUGUCCACCGUAAGACUAAGGUUUCCAGGGGAAGGCUCGUCCGCCCUGGGUUAGUCGGGACCUAAGGAGAGACCGAAAGGUGUAUCCGAUGGCCAACAGGUUGAGAUUCCUGUACUAGAGUAUGAAGUGAUGGAGGGACGCAGUAGGCUAACUCGUGCGUACGAAUGGAUGUACGUCUAAGCAGUGAGGCGUGGUAUGAGUCAAAUGCUUAUACCUGUAACGUUGAGCUGUGAUGGGGAGCGAAGUUUAGUAGCGAGUGAGUGAUGUCACACUGCCAAGAAAAGCUUCUAGCGUUGUAUCAUACUCUACCCGUACCGCAAACCGACACAGGUAGUCGAGGCGAGUAGCCUCAGGUGAGCGAGAGAACUCUCGUUAAGGAACUCGGCAAAAUGACCCCGUAACUUCGGGAGAAGGGGUGCUGACUUUGGUCAGCCGCAGUGAAUAGGCCCAAGCAACUGUUUAUCAAAAACACAGCUCUCUGCUAAAUCGUAAGAUGAUGUAUAGGGGGUGACGCCUGCCCGGUGCUGGAAG
This 955-nucleotide ribosomal RNA is filed under the name Shigella flexneri. Its description in RNAcentral is "partial 23S ribosomal RNA". It matches the Rfam family "Bacterial large subunit ribosomal RNA", at positions 903 to 1875 of the family's 2925-position model. Lineage: Bacteria; Pseudomonadati; Pseudomonadota; Gammaproteobacteria; Enterobacterales; Enterobacteriaceae. The record is from RNAcentral.